Molecule: ribosomal RNA, 253 nt
Filed under: uncultured bacterium
Lineage: Bacteria
Description: partial 16S ribosomal RNA
Rfam family: Bacterial small subunit ribosomal RNA
Source: RNAcentral
UACGUAGGGUGCAAGCGUUGUCCGGAAUUAUUGGGCGUAAAGAGCUUGUAGGCGGUUUGUCGCGUCUGCUGUGAAAUUUCGGGGCUCAACCCCGAACUUGCAGUGGGUACGGGCAGACUAGAGUGUGGUAGGGGAGAAUGGAAUUCCCGGUGUAGCGGUGAAAUGCGCAGAUAUCGGGAGGAACACCGGUGGCGAAGGCGGUUCUCUGGGCCUUACCUGACGCUGAGGAGCGAAAGCGUGGGGAGCGAACAGG